Molecule: ribosomal RNA, 503 nt
Filed under: uncultured bacterium
Lineage: Bacteria
Description: partial 16S ribosomal RNA
Rfam family: Bacterial small subunit ribosomal RNA
Source: RNAcentral
AUUGAACGCUGGCGGCAGGCUUAACACAUGCAAGUCGAGCGGGGUGAUGGUGCUUGCACUAUCACUUAGCGGCGGACGGGUGAGUAAUGCUUAGGAAUCUGCCUAUUAGUGGGGGACAACAUCUCGAAAGGGAUGCUAAUACCGCAGACGUCCUACGGGAGAUAGCAGGGGAUCACUUGUGACCUUGCGCUAAUAGAUGAGCCUAAGUCGGAUUAGCUAGUUGGCGGGGUAAAGGCCUACCAAGGCGACGAUCUGUAGCGGGUCUGAGAGGAUGAUCCGCCACACUGGGACUGAGACACGGCCCAGACUCCUACGGGAGGCAGCAGUGGGGAAUAUUGGACAAUGGGGGGAACCCUGAUCCAGCCAUGCCGCGUGUGUGAAGAGGGCCUUAUGGUUGUAAAGCACUUUAAGCGAGGAGGAGGCUCUUUUGGUUAAUACCCAAGAUGAGUGGACGUUACUCGCAGAAUAAGCACCGGCUAACUCUGUGCCAGCCGCCGCGGUAA